Molecule: non-coding RNA, 178 nt
Filed under: Mariprofundus sp.
Lineage: Bacteria; Pseudomonadati; Pseudomonadota; Candidatius Mariprofundia; Mariprofundales; Mariprofundaceae
Description: 6S RNA
Rfam family: 6S / SsrS RNA
About the family: E. coli 6S RNA was the first non coding RNA to be sequenced, but its function was unknown until recently. It consists of 184 nucleotides that fold into an extended hairpin structure with a large single-stranded internal bulge.
Source: RNAcentral
GCGCCUCUGCGUUGAGCGAAUGGCAUAAAUGUUGCCUGAGCCGAUACUUGUCGAAUGGGAGCUUACCUAUCUUGGCUGUUGUGCGUCCCUUUUUGGGAUACCUGAUGCCCAGUUGCGGCACCCACCUCUUGUUAGAGGGUUCGUCGACUGUUUGCCACCACGCCAACGCGGAGGUUCC